Xenia sp. Carnegie-2017 is the source of this 203-nucleotide long non-coding RNA. RefSeq lists it as uncharacterized. The transcript is spliced from 3 exons. The record is from RefSeq and is a predicted model, not a curated record. Lineage: Eukaryota; Metazoa; Cnidaria; Anthozoa; Malacalcyonacea; Xeniidae.
GUGGUAUCUACGCAGAGUAAAGGGCGGAUCUAGGUAGGCACCAUAGGCAAGUGCCUAUGGUGAAAUUACCAAAAUAUACUUCGACUUAGAUUCGAUACGAAUUUAUCGAAUUAUGAAACUAUGAAUAGCACUUUAUCGCAGUCAAAUCAUCUGACUUUUGUUUAGAAAUGUUGUGCAAUUAAAUGACGUAAUUUUGAUAUGAA